This 350-nucleotide unclassified non-coding RNA is filed under the name soil metagenome. Its description in RNAcentral is "partial contains 5.8S ribosomal RNA, internal transcribed spacer 2, and large subunit ribosomal RNA". The stretch from base 1 to 120 matches the Rfam family "5.8S ribosomal RNA", at positions 35 to 154 of the family's 154-position model. The record is from RNAcentral.
GAUGAAGAACGCAGCGAACUGCGAUAAGUAAUGUGAAUUGCAGAAUUCAGUGAAUCAUCGAGUCUUUGAACGCACAUUGCGCCCCCUGGCAUUCCGGGGGGCAUGCCUGUCCGAGCGUCAUUGCUGCCCUUCAAGCCCGGCUUGUGUGUUGGGUCGUCGUCCCCCCCGGGGGACGGGCCCGAAAGGCAGCGGCGGCACCGCGUCCGGUCCUCGAGCGUAUGGGGCUUUGUCACCCGCUCGAUUAGGGCCGGCCGGGCGCCAGCCGGCGUCUCCAACCUUCUAUUUUACCAGGUUGACCUCGGAUCAGGUAGGGAUACCCGCUGAACUUAAGAAUAUCAAUAAGCGGAGGA